UGAAGGGAUGAAAAUACAACCUAAGCUAAUGAGAAGCUUAAAAUUGUUCUGAAUUCCAGAGUUUGUUCCUUAUAGGUAAAAGGUUAGGUUUUUUUGCUGUUUUAAAAUAUGCGGAAGUAAAAUAGGCCCUGAGUACGUGUCUCUAGACAUGAAACUUCUUGAAACUAUUUGAGAUAACAAGAACAGGGAGUUUCUAACUGCUUGUUCAGCUUCUGUAAAACUGCUUGCAAAAGAUAAAAGGAGAGGAGGUUAAUCUCUAAAGCAACCUCAAAUUGGUUGCGCCAUAAAGAUGUUGAAACGUUGAUACACAUAUCUUGGUGACAACAUGUCUCCCCGAAACAUGCGCAAAUGUGUAACUCCAAAACAAUUUAAAUUAAUUGGUCCACGAAGCGUGGGCUUUGUUGUGAACCCCAUAAAAGCUGUCCCGACUCCACACUCGCCGCCGCAGUCCUCUACCCCUGCGUGGUGUAUGACUGUGGGCCCCAGCGCGCUUGGAAUAAAAAUCCUCUUGCUGUUUGCAUCAAGACCGCUUCUCGUGAGUGAUUAAGGGGAGUCGCCUCUUCCGAGCCUAGAAGUUCUUUUUGCUGGUCUUACAUUUGGGGGCUCGUCCGGGAUCUGUCGCGGCCACCCUUAACACCCGAGAACCGACUUGGAGUUUUAAUAUGGGACAGACGGUGACGACCCCUCUCCUGCUUGGCUGAGGAGCCAAUGGGGCAAAGCUACCAUCUCCGGUCCCCCGCGGUCCCCGCCGGCGGGCCGCCGCGCGCGCCCACGUGGGCGUGUCCCGUCGCGCGUCGGGACCGGGGUCCGGUGCGGAGAGCCCUUCGUCCUGGGAAACGGGGCGCGGCCGGAAAGCGCGGCCGCCCCCUCGCCCGUCACGCACCGCACGUUCGUGGGGAACCUGGUGCUAAACCAUCCGUAGACGACCUGCUUCUGGGUCGGGGUUUCGUACGUAGCAGAACAGCUC
Molecule: long non-coding RNA, 967 nt
Organism: Sus scrofa (pig)
Lineage: Eukaryota; Metazoa; Chordata; Mammalia; Artiodactyla; Suidae
Source: RefSeq, a predicted model, not a curated record